This is a non-coding RNA of Cordylochernes scorpioides, 87 nucleotides long. The record is from the annotation of a GenBank genome assembly. Lineage: Eukaryota; Metazoa; Arthropoda; Arachnida; Pseudoscorpiones; Chernetidae.
CGCCCAGAAGGUGGAAUAGAAGCACUCAGCUUCUAAGUGGCUAUUGGUUUGAAGCCUUGAGCCCAGAACACUGAAGUUCAUCUGGGC